Long non-coding RNA from Agrilus planipennis (emerald ash borer), 767 nucleotides. RefSeq lists it as uncharacterized. The transcript has 4 exons. NCBI's taxonomy places the organism in Eukaryota, Metazoa, Arthropoda, Insecta, Coleoptera, Buprestidae. The record is from RefSeq and is a predicted model, not a curated record.
UUUUAUGAAGUUUAUUUUACAUAAUUAUAUUUAAUUUUCUUUGAAAUUUUGUGUUGAUAUUGUAAAUUUAAAGUGUGUUUUAGCUAGCACACGUAAUUUCGCUAUUUUCCUAAUCCUUUUCCUACGUGGAAUAAAUGAGGGCAUAUUAAAGUUUGCUCUUCUCUUGUUGAUCUUGGAGGAACGUCUUGCGUUUAAUUUAGUUUUAGCAUUUCCAACAAUUUGACUACGAAGGAAAAUAGUACUUUGAACUACUUCAGAGUUCUUUGUUGGUAUUUUGGGUUGUUGACUAAGGAAGUGGACAUUAUACUGUUGAUGUUCCAGAAUUGUUCUUUCCAAAUAUUUGACACUGGAUUAGAAAGAAGGGAUUUUUAUCUAUGGAUCAUCCCACGAUCUCAUCUCAGUUGUCGUUAUCUGUCUAUGUCUUGUCUAUGGUCUAUGAUUCAUCUUGCAUGCACCUUGUCUAUCUUGUCCAAUCUUACCUUCGGUUUUCGAGAAGACGGCAGGUUACCCUUUUUGCUGUUCAUAAAUGGAGACGACGCCGGAAGUUCAGACCUGCUUUGAGAUGACAUCCUUGGAUUUGAUGGGCAAACGGCUUACACAUGUAAUGUUUGUGACAAACAAACAAACAACAAAAAUACUUAUAAUGAGCUGGUCAAAUAGGAUAGAGGGUACUAACAAUGGUAAUUAUCAUUAAUAAUAAAAUAACAAAACCUAGUGAACAUAUAAGUAAUAUUAAAUUGUUUCAACAGGUUUCCAUUAAAACAUAA